This 479-nucleotide ribosomal RNA is filed under the name uncultured bacterium. RNAcentral's name for it is "partial 16S ribosomal RNA". It matches the Rfam family "Bacterial small subunit ribosomal RNA", at positions 28 to 507 of the family's 1533-position model. The record is from RNAcentral.
GAUGAACGCUGGCGGCGUGCUUAACACAUGCAAGUCGAACGAAGCACUUAAGAUUGAUUCUUCGGAUGACGUCUUUUGUGACUUAGUGGCGGACGGGUGAGUAACGCGUGGGUAACCUGCCUCACACAGGGGGAUAACAGUUAGAAAUGACUGCUAAUACCGCAUAACCCGAUAGGAUCGCAUGAUCCAGACGGAAAAGAUUUAUCGGUGUGAGAUGGACCCGCGUCUGAUUAGCUAGUUGGUGAGGUAACGGCCCACCAAGGCGACGAUCAGUAGCCGGCCUGAGAGGGUGAACGGCCACAUUGGGACUGAGACACGGCCCAAACUCCUACGGGAGGCAGCAGUGGGGAAUAUUGCACAAUGGGGGAAACCCUGAUGCAGCGACGCCGCGUGAGUGAAGAAGUAUUUCGGUAUGUAAAGCUCUAUCAGCAGGGAAGAAAAUGACGGUACCUGACUAAGAAGCCCCGGCUAACUAUGUG